RNAcentral lists this long non-coding RNA (304 nucleotides) under Homo sapiens (human). RNAcentral's name for it is "HSALNT0334626". Lineage: Eukaryota; Metazoa; Chordata; Mammalia; Primates; Hominidae. The record is from RNAcentral.
CCUACACUGGGCCUGUACAACUUCCGAGGGGUACCGGUUGGGGUCCCAAGUGACACUGCAGGAGGAGCAAGCCAAAGCACAAUGGAAAAUUUGUGAAUUCUAUCCUAGAACUACAUGAAGCAGAAAAAGGCACAAAGUCUAUGAGAACGUGGAAGCAAAAUAUUAGGACCAUCAACCACAAAGGUGAACCUAGUCCAAAACAAGAAAGAUAUGAGCUCCCAGGGGGAGGUGGAGCGGCUCUCGAUGUUACGUGACAUGGAAACGCGCUGGUUUUCAUUGAUGAUGCCAAUGUCAAGCUUCAUAC